GAAGUCCAUGGAUUUCUAGAGGGUCUGCUUGAACUUUUAUGCAAAAUGUACACAUGAAGGUCUAAGAUCCAGGUUUUCAUGGAUUCUCAAAGAGGUAGACUGCCUCCAAAAGAGGUGAAGACUGGCAUGGAGAGUGUCAGAUAACCCUGGUGCCUCACCAUGUCCUUAGACGCCCUGUGGUGUCCCCAAAGCACUUCCUGUUGAAUCUCCCCGUGUUCUGGACUAGCAUGAAGUGCCGAGCCCAGUCUUGACACUAGUGAGGGUUUAGUGAGCAAAUCCACGAAAUAGGAAAUGCUGAACUAUCCAGUUCCAACUUUUCCACCACUUAACCCUUAUCUCUUCAUCUGUCAGAAAGAGGAGAGGGAUCUGUGUUUUAUUGUACUCUGUGCCAUUACAGGAUAUUUUUGAAAAUAUAAUCAUGAUUCUUACACAAACAUAAAAGGAACAAGCAUCAAGGAUUAUAUUUAAUUCAUUAAUUAAUGAGGGAACUGGCAAGAUGUUAUGACAGUCUAAGAAGAGAUCUCAAAAUACCACACAUUUAUAUGCAGAUAAGGGAUGCUGAAAUGAAUUUACAAAUAGUGCAAAACUGGCACAGCUGGUCAAUAUUCACAAAGUGAUAAUCACUUGCAUCCGACCAGACAGUUUGCAUUUCUAUGCACAGGAUUUAAUUACAUUACUAUUAGUUUUGUAAGAGUUAACUUCUCUCUCCCCAGAGUUCUAGAAUAGUCCAAGACAAAGGUAGAAAUAACCAGGAUAAAUGUACCAGCCAGUACACACUAAAUUUCAAAGUCUUUCACAAUUGCUCCUUAUGGUGUCUUAUUCUUAGGAUGUUUUCUUUGAGACAAGCCUUAUAUGUUAGCAGCCCCCAAUUCAGUGUGAUUUGGGGGGCACUGAGAAGACCCCUUGUUAUGACCUAAUUCUUCCCUACCUGGUUGUAAGUUACCUGAAACUCCACCCCAGGGGCUUUAGCCUUUGAUCCGACCUUGAUUUAUCCCAGUCAGAACCCCCACAAAGAGCAAUGUUUCCAAGGUGCCUUGUGCACAGAGCAUUUUCACAUCUGACUCUAACAACAACCCAUUUUACAAAUGAUGAGACCUGGAGGCUAGCUCGAGGUGACGUAUACCUAGUGGGGACUUGCACCCAGUUCUUCUGAUUUCAGAAGAUGUCCACUUUCUGCUGUGCUAACAAGCCUUAGAAGGGCAGCAUCUGGGUGAGGUUCUAUUGGAGGCAGACAGAGGACCGGAAAAGGACUCACACUUGCUCACAAUGUGGAUGCACUAGACAUAAUCGACGAAAUGGGUAAUUCAUGACUCACACAUUUAUUUAUUUAAGGACCUACCUUGUGCCAGGCGCCAGGGUCAUAGUAUUGAACAAGGCAGACAGAGGCCCUGUCCUUGGGAACUUAAGUUCUAGUAGGGAGGACAUACAUCAACAACUAAAUACACUAUGAAUUAUUCACUUAAAACUGUUGGAAGUGCUACAAAGAACGGUAGAAUGUGUUGUGGAGAUAUUCUUGAGCUGAAGAGCCUUCCCCCAUCCGGCUUAGACUCCCUCUCUCCCUGCCUUAAGAGGAAGUAGAGUAGAGUAUGGGAAAUCUGGAUGCCACGCAGAGCUGCAGGGCCUGACUUUGUGUUCCUACAGGCAAAACUAGAAGCCCUGGAAGGGGAAGAAAUGGGGAUGCAAUGGGAGCUACUCACCAUCUGAAGUGUAAGAACUCCAUGGAGAAAGACCAGCAGACUCACACACCAGGCCAUGCUGAGGUGCUGAAAGCAUAAAUGAAACUUUCUAAUUCAAAUAAAUAAAUGUGUGUAUAUGUGCAUAGAUGAUGUCUUGAUAAUAAAUAAAUAAUAAAUAUGUCUUGAUAUGUAUUGAUAAUAAAUAAAUAAUAAAUAAAUAAAAAAUGAUAAUAAACAAAGGAAGCCUUGGAGCACAAGGUAACAAGAGGAGGCUGGGUUUGAAAUCUUGACUUUGACACUUGCUAGCUGUGUGACCUGGGGCAAAUCAUUUAACCUCUUUGGGCCUCAUUUUCCUCACCUCUAAAAUGGGGAUAAUAUUAAAGCUAUUUCAAGGGUGGUUAUGAAAUUUGAAUGAGGUAAUGCAUAUGAAGCACUUAAAAUAGUGCAUGGAAAGCAGGC
Equus caballus (horse) is the source of this 2135-nucleotide long non-coding RNA. Lineage: Eukaryota; Metazoa; Chordata; Mammalia; Perissodactyla; Equidae. The record is from Ensembl.